ACAGCUAUGCUCUCAAAGCAGGUUGCAGGGGUUUCACUCUCCUUGGGAACUCUACAAACGAACCCUUGUUUGCCUUGAACCUUAAGACAUUUAGCUUUGGGCUUGGACAGUUUGUGGCAGAAUAAACCAAGGCUUGGGUGUUUUCUACAGCAGUCACCAAAGGCUGAUGUUUAACCCCUCGUGUGCCAUAAAGGAGUGCAGCCAAUGGAUUGCCAGUCAGCAAAGGGAUACAGAUUUUACACCGAGGGACCUGUUACAUCCUUGGGCACAUGGGACUCCCAGGGGAGAUUAGACCUUCUGCAAGGACUGCAGGUGGGGAACUGAGGCACAGAGCGCCUAGAAGGGACUUGAUUAAGGUCCCGCAAGAAAUCAGUGGUGGAGCAGGGUGUUAAAUCUCAGUCUCCGGACUCUUCCAGGCUGGCACCCUAAGCACGGGAUGAAUCUUGCGUUAGUUUGUAGCAGCUGAAGCAUGAACAAAGAUGAGUCAGUAGUUGCAAUGGAUAGCUAGUUGGCUGGUCAUGCAGUAGCCAUGGAGGUGGUGGAUUUCAUCAUCAUAAACAAUAAGAGGGGCGCCGGUGUGCAUAUUCAAGUCCCAUUGAACCCCUAUUUUAAGGGCUUAGAUGGGAUUUAAGAGGUCCAACUGCAUAGGCCUUUGUUGGCAUUCUGCACAGGAGUGAAUUUCACCUAUAGCGCUUUACUCCAAUGUGCUGCACAAACGUCAGUUCAUCAGUGCAAUUCUGAUUUUCAUUAGGAAUGUUUGCCCAACCACAUCAGCUUGUCUUUCUUAAAAGAAGGUCUGGAAGUCUGCUUUCUGCACUGUAUUUGCUCAGAUUGUAGCUGCAUGCACUUACGCAAUAAAACAUUUACAGCUGCUCUAGAAUUGUUGCAGGAGGCAGCUUGCUGCUUUCCUCAUUUGUUUUACUAUUUGGAGACAGGAUUUCAUGAAGUGUGAGGGAAUGCAGGGCCAUACCUUGUACUAUUCCCCCACCCCCAAAUCCCAGUAACUCUGACCUUUACUUAAUGUACUGAACUUAUUACUUAACAUGCACAGAUGGAUACAUGAAGAUCCUACUGACACAGGUCCAAUUCAAAAUCCAGAGGUUUUACCAUUUUUGCUAUUACUCUGUAUUGCUGUGUUGGUUUCUUUUUAGCCAGCUUUGUAUUCAUGCCACAAACAGCUGGUCUCAUUUCGUGAUGAUGCUUUCUUGUAAAGGGCACAGUUACCGUUAAAUUACUCUUUACUGCCACAA
This is a long non-coding RNA of Chelonia mydas (Green sea turtle), 1250 nucleotides long. RefSeq lists it as uncharacterized. The transcript has 3 exons. The record is from RefSeq and is a predicted model, not a curated record. Lineage: Eukaryota; Metazoa; Chordata; Testudines; Cheloniidae.